AAGAGACACACAGCUGUACUGCUUAAUGGCACUUCCUCCUCUUCAUUCAAAUCACUUAUUCCUCUCUUCCGCAUAGCAAAAAUCUUCUCCCACUACACCAAAUUGAUGAUAAACUCCCUACGGGCUAUUACAGAGGAUGCUCUUGGAGUGGAAGCUACCAAAAAGAGUUUGUCAAGGACUUGAUUAGAGCACACAGAUUGCAUCUUUGCUUCUUCAGUCAGUUGGAUAGCAUCUUGCUGAUUGGUCUCCUCCUGCAAAUUAAGAGGAGCAAUUGGUCAGGUCACAGAUUUGCCUUUAUCGCAACUCUUCAAAGUCUUAUUUUAGCAAGACAGCUUUCCAAUGUGAAUAUGGAAGGCGCCUUCUUCACCUCAGGUUAGUGAAAACCCUGAUGUUUUUCUCUUGUCUAUCAGUUUCCUGAAAGUUUCUGAGAAGUACUUCUUCUAUGGAGAGGACAUUUAGCUGAAUCUGAAUUAGUAAAGCCAGUUCCCACUGAAUCACAGGUUUUGUUCAAAGAAGUGGGUAUUCAAAGCCAUUUUCUUAAUAUACUUUGGAACAAGCUGUAUAGCUGAAGCAGUCUCUAGGUGCAGAGAAGGCAGGCAGCUGAUGCAGUACAGUGACAAUACAUGCCAUGCCUUCUUUGCUUCUGCUGGACCUGAAGAAGACAAGACUGGAAACAACUGCUGCUCCUCCACCCAGCAGAGAGUUUUGAGUCCACAGGGCAGUGGCAGCAAGGAGGGACCCUUGCAGCAGCUAGCCAGAAUCUCCAGGAUUCCUUCUGCCCAUUCAAGAUGUGACUCUUUUUCCCUUUCCCGAUUCCUAUAACAGGAGUGGUCAUGGUUUUGCUUUGUAUUUUAGAGCAGGAAAAUUCAUCGCUUCUGAGAAAUAUUGAGUCAGCUUUGUGUACCUAUGCCUAAUGUGACAGAUACUACUUUUUACUGCUGUUUGCUGAUGGUAGCACUUACGAACACAGUAUGUGAGUCACAUGGGAUGCAUAGAGGAGGAUCCCAGACCCACCGAAUGCUUGUAUCACUAAUAAAUGAUGAACUUGACAGACAAAUACAUGAGAUUAAUGCUAAACUGGAGAAAUUCAGCAAGUCUCUAUGGAGGAUGAUUAUAUUAUAUUAUAUAUAUUAUAUAUUAUAUUAUUGAUUAUAUUGUACUAUUUCCAUUCACAGCAGCAGGAGUUUGGGCCCAUUGGCUUUAACUGAGUUAUUUUCAGUAUACAACAGUACAAACAGCAAAAGAAACAACCUCAGGAGAAAGAGGCUGAAGCAGUAGGAAUGAGGGUGUGGUAUGGAAAUAAGAUGAGGUAUGGCUACCCAAAUGGUUUGAGUUGUUUGAUGAGUUUCUGGUCUCUGUAUGUAGAAUAUCAAUGAAGCAAUGGUUUAAAAAAAAAAAAAAAAGAAGAAGAAGAAAAAAAAGAAAAAAAAGAAAAAAAGUUCCUUUAUGUCAAGUUGGGGUGAAACCAGACAGCUAUACUGUGGAAAGUUAUUCCUAUCUGCUAGAAAGAGCAGCAUGGAAUAAGGUGUGGAUCUGUUCAAGAGAUAAGAAUGUAUUAUGGAGGAGUAUUAUGUGAAGGACAACUGAUGUAACAAUGAAAAUAUUUGCAGUGAUGUUGUUAACAGAUGUAGGAAAACGUGAAUAUUUUUUUAAAUUGUUCUUUAAUUUAAAUUCCUGUUGUUUUCUUCACCGUGCCAAUAAUUCUUUAGUCUUUUUUGUCACCUCACUACAUGAGAUCCUUGCUGAAAAGAAGCUUUGUCUCUCAUCUCACUUUUAUGCUGUUAUAUGUAUACUUGUUAUAUUCUGGAACAAGUUUCUGGCAACAUGCCAUGCAUGAGCGGAAGGAGGCAGAGAAGACUUUUUGGAGGACUCAGAGCUGGGACAAGCAGUGUGGCUGAGAAUAAAUAAGUGCCAGGUGCCUCGGGUACACUGAAACUGACAGAAUUCAUUGUGGUAUUCAAGAUCAAGCAUGAACAUGUGCUAGAAGAUCACACAGAAGGGAAAGCUGGCUAGCUAAUGUAAAAAUAUUUCUGUAGAUCUAAGACUUGUAGUUUAAGUUGAGAGGAAGGGAGAUACAGUGAGUAUUCAGUCCUUGUGACGUGACAUGAGAAAUGCCCUACACAGUCAGGGCACAGUCUGACUGCAGCCUACCUCUAACAGGGUGCCACGACAUACCAUUUGGAGAAAGGCCUGCAAGUCUGGCUAUGUUCAGGGGUGCUUUCCCCUUACGCUUCCCAACAAGCAUGGCUUUUGCAUGAAGGAUGUCUGAGGCACAUCUCUGCCUGUUCCUUCUAGAACCUGUUUAUGGAGUUGUUUCCUGUGAAUUUGUCUAACCCGUUUUUGAGCAACCACCUGCCUCCACGGCCUCUGAUGGAGGCAAGUUCCCAAAGUUUACUGCUUGCUGUGCAAAUAAAUACUUCAUUUUAUUUCUUUUAAACCCACCUUCUAUUAGUUUCAGUAAGUUUCUACCAUUCUGCUACUGAAAAACUCUACUUUCAUCACUUAUGCUUUUAUCUUCCUUAUGAUCUUGAUCACAUCCCACUCAGCCUUCUCCUCUCCAGUCUGAAGAAAAGCAAUCUUUUUUCAUUCUCUCCUUGUCAGACAAUAGAUCUAAUCUCUUAGCUGUGCUGUACAAGCUAUUAGGCCUGGUCUCCAGGUGCAUUUCAAAAUAGUAGAGCUAGUGGAUAUUAAUAGCUAUUAUGGCAAUGCAGACAUUGCUUCAGUGUCUGUGACUGAAGCCGUCAGUCCCCCUUCCUCUAAAGCAUCUGGAGGUAAAGGACUCUCUGGGCCAAUUGAUUUCUGCUAGAGUUCACAGUAGCUGCUGGUUCCUAAAGAGGAUUUGGUCUCCUGGUUGCUCUCUACUGAUUUUUGCAGGUAGUGUGCAGUCACUGCAAAGAUAGUGCUUUUCUCUGCUUUUAGUAGGUAUCUUUAAGCUCAGUUCUUGCCCUAGUUUCUAUACUUGGCAACAACUGAUGGCCCUUAAUAUAUUUGUCGGGUAGCACUGUCUUUAAUAUUAUGUUGUAAGACAUCACUACAUAGCAUAAGCUCUCAGCUAGGCUUAACAACAGAUCAACCAGAGAACAAUUUACAUAUUAAGGCUACUGAUGUCUUGUGUUUUGAUCACAUUUUAAAGUUCUAUUAGCAUUACCAGGUUUUAAUUUAAGAAACAGAGACUUGUCUAUUCUCCCCCUUCAACUGCAAACCCUCUGAAAGGUCCUUUUUUCUGCAAAUAAGACAAAGCAAGGAAAUGGGCCAUCAUCCCUGCCUUUCAAUGCAGUGUGUCCUCUGUCCUCUUGGCAGGUAAAUCUUGUGAACAUGUUCACCAGGGAUGUGUUGUUAUUGUUUCACAUUCCUCUUGUAACAGCAUGGGAUCACAAGUGAAUCUGGGAUACUUUGGAGUAGUACAAUAAAGACCUUGUUUGUUUGCUGCUGUACUGUCAGAGGGAAUAUUUUAGCACCUGAUAGCACUGCAUAGAUUAGGUUUGAGAGGAUGUCCAUCCCUAACUGAAACAAUGGUAAUCUACAUCUUUUCUAUGGUUGGCUUCUACCUGUGCUCUGGGCCUGAUUCACUUCUAAUCAAGAAGGCAUUGUAUUGGUGCUGCAUGUAUAACCAGGAAGGUGAGUGGAUUGCAGAUUAGCUUUGCUUUCAUCUCCUAAACAUUUUAGAGGGCUAGCAAGCAAAAUUGGGAUAAGGAUGCAUUCUAAAGGCUUUGAAGUAUUUGUUAGUAAACAGAGGUUUUGCAGAUCUGUCCUUAACUAGAAAAUGUUAUGCCUUUUAUUAAUGUACCUUCUGAAGUAAAACUAUUGCUUUGUAUAAACUAGAUAUUCUUGAGAUGUGGCAGAAAGUAACUUACUGAUAAUUCUUAAUGCUUCAAAAUGUUACAUGCAUGUAGAGAAAAAUGACUUGUCUGAAAUGUCCCCUUGAAAAUGUUUUUCAACUAUGAAAUAUAUCCACAGGUUUUGUUGUUGUUGUUGUUGUUGUUUUUUAAUGAAACAUUCCUUUCUAUGGCUUAUUUUUUAAAAAACAUACGUAGGUCCAUAACAGUGGCUGUUUGGGAUCAGAACAGGGUCUCCUUAGCACUGUAUCCCAUUUCUGGCAUCGGCCAAGAGCAGAUGCCCAGGAGGAACUAUAAGAACAGGGUAAGCACAUAAAAUACUUUCCUGAAUGCUCUCCCAGCCUGCAACCAUUUAUGGAUCAGAGAUUUCCUGAGCUGGACAAGGUUUCUAUCUAGGUUGUAACCCUUCAUGAAUUUCUCUUCCUCUGGCUUUCCCCUUGAACUUGUGUGUCUUCCACUCAGAGAAGUUUUACAAUUUCAGCAUAUUUGAGGAGCUGAUUGAAUCAAAUAUUUGCUUGCAGUUAAAUAAAAUGGCUUAAUAGUAUAUGAUUUUAAAAUCUCCUUCUGUGUAAACCUCAUCUCUCAUAGCCUUACUGCUGUGAUGAGGGCAUUGCCGCAGAUUAGACUAUACUGGAAAGUCUUUCCUAAUGGUAUUUGAAGCUGUUCACUGGAUCUACUUAACAGCAGGAAGAACAUUCAUGCUGCCCAGUUUCAAGCAUCUAAUUAAGGUUUCUUACUUGUCAGCUUAAGUUUGCUUAAGUAGUUUCUAAUAUAGAAUUCUGUGAACUGGAAAUGGAAGGCAGCGCUAUGAAUUGUCAUCUGGAGCAGCCAGCCUACCCCUGCAAGGGGAAUUUAGGGAGACAAGCUGAGGGACCUUGAAUUGCUUGGUGUGAGUACUUCCACAUAUGAAAGAAGACAGAAUGGCUUGAUCAAAAAUGAACUCUUUAUUUUCCAACUAUUACUACGCAAUUUUAGAUAAGCAAAAAAACCAACCAACCAAAAAAAAAAAACGCCAAAGAGUCUAAACUGGUGUACAUGGAGAAUAGUAAUAUUGUGCUUAUAAAACAUAUCAUGACAUUUAUUUAGACCCCGAGAGAUCGAAAGCUUGUCUUGAUAACUGUUAUAUAUAGAGCUACUGCUACAGUUACUGAGCGCAUCAAAGAGAAAUGAAUUUAGUGUUGUUAGAACUGUGUCCUUUAGGGGCAGUCGUAUACCAGCAUUCUGUAUAAACAGAAGUUAAAAGAAGUAUCUGCAUGUGCCAGCAAGACUUGUUGAAAAAAACAGCUGCAUGGAAGAGAUGCCAAUGAAUCUUAUUCCAAACAGCAUGAAGAUUUUUAACUGUUACUGAGAAUCUCUUGUUAAUUCACCUCUGAUUAACAUCAUUGAAGUUAAACAUCUACGCAGUGGAGACCAGCCUUUUAUUCUUAGUUUAUAAAGGUCAUAAUUUUGAAAUUUAAAGCAAUAAAGAUUUGGCAAUUAGUGCCAACUUAUAAAAGACUGUCAUCUUUUUGGAGGUGUGCACCUUUUAUAGAACAGAAGUAGCGUUUGUAUGGUUAUUUGAGGCAGAAUUUGAAAUCUAGAAUUUGAAAAAGUAACCAAAAUGAUGGCUACAUUAAUAAAAAUGUUAUUUCAUUUGCAGUUCGUCUAUGGGGAGAACUUUUGGUGAUAUUUCUGCUUUAGAUGCUUGUCCUCUUUCUCCGAAUGGAAUAAUGGCUAGUGUUCAGUGGUGCUGAAGGAUAACACUUUGCAGAGCUGACCAGCUGAUCUGUGACUGAUGUUAUUAACCCAGUUCUCCAAGAGAUAGGAAUUGCUGGUGGAGAUGGUGGUGGUGAUUGUAGCAGUGCUGGUGGUGAAAUUAAUACCAAAAGUUCAAGAAUACUUACAUUCAAACUAAUCCAUUGCUCUCAGUUUGGGCAAUGGCACAUUCUUCCUCAAAAAGAUUGAAUUAUUAAAAAAAAAAAUAAUCUGGUAUUUCUGACAGUCAUACUCAUUUUACUUAACAGAAAGUUUUAUGAUGAUCGCUGUUACUAUCACUGUUGGUAUUAAAAGUGAAAUGGAGGACUUGACAUUCCAAGUCACACUACUUGCUAGAGCUUCAUUGUCAAAAAUUUUAUACUCACUUGGGCAUACAAGCUCAUAUUCGUAAUGUUCUGUGGCUAAGUCUCCACAUGAGUGGGGGACGAAAUGAUUACAAAAAUACCACUGAACUUUGGUAACACUCAAGAUGUUCAUUGCAGGGGAGUUGGACUAGAUGAUCUUUGAAGGUCCCUUCCAACUCAAACAAUUCUAUGAUUCUAUGUUCAGUUCUUUUAGUGUGGCUGGUAACCAACAACUAAAAGAUACCUGCAGAGGAGAUAGAAUGUUAGCAAACUUGCUUACUUAUAUAGCUAAUGAUAAAAACAAAGUUUCCAAAGACCUUAAAACAGUAUGAGACAACCUUUACAGAAUACACUGUCCAGGAUUUCGUUCCACAGACUGUAAGGCUUUCUUUCUGGGAGGUUAAAAACAGUUUUGUCAGGAGAUAUUCAUGUGCUCUGCUUUUAGGUACCUGUGCUGAAUGGCCCUCUCAGGGACUCUUUCAUGCAGAGAGUCCAGGGAAACUGUCGUCUAGACUGAAUGCCUGAAAUAGGUUAUGCAUACCUACAGGUCUCUGUAAAUUGGAGUCAGCCUGCAAGUCUUAACUACAGAAGACAUCAAGCCAGCAAGGUUUUUGGUAUUAAGCAAAAAUGCUAAUUUUGUGCGAAAGAGUAAAUUUGACUAUUUCUUAUAACAUUAAAUUUCAGAAAAACAAGAAUCAAGUAUUACUUAAGUCCUUAUUUUUAUUUAUAUUGUUUAAUAUUAGUCCUGGGCAACAUGAUCUAGUACCAUAUCUGGAGGUUGGUGGCCCUGUCUGUGGCGGGGGUUGGAACUUGAUGAUUCUUGGGGUCCUUUCCAACCCAAGCCAUUCUAUGAUUCCAUAUUACUCAAAUAAAAUAUAAAACUACUUGACCAAGUAUUUGAACAGAAAGGUGUAAAAGCUCUCUCAUGAGCUCAAAGUAUUUCACUUGUUAAAAGUACUGUGUCGACAACAUUAUUGUGGAAUGCUCUUUUAUCCAUAUAUGCGUGCUUUCAAAUACAAAGAUUAAAAAAAUUAAAAAAAAAAAUUAACAGCUGUGAAUAGCAGU
Molecule: long non-coding RNA, 7000 nt
Organism: Numida meleagris (helmeted guineafowl)
Lineage: Eukaryota; Metazoa; Chordata; Aves; Galliformes; Numididae
Exons: 3
Source: RefSeq, a predicted model, not a curated record